GUGUGGAGGUGCGCGGUAUUUAAAGGGCUGCCUCCCCCGCCCUUCCACCCCCCCUCCGGGGUAAGCCCUUUAGCGCUUCACCCGGCGCAGGAGGCUCCAGCGAGCGCUAAUUCGCCCCGGGCUCUCCACCGCGCACGUCCUGCUCUCUCCUCCGCCGGCCGCGGCAACGCUGGACGGAGCGCUCGGGAGCAGGGGCUCGGAACUAUGGAGAAAGCAUCAGCUCAUUAUGGUGAACUCAGACCUUCCCUCUCUGAAGAGAAAUGAGUCACUUGAAAAGAUCUCCACAGUGGGAUGGAUGUUUUCACGCCAAGACGAAUGAGAAUUUUAAACAUCUGCAUCUCUGGCCUGAAAAAGCAGAGAGCUCCUGCUUUGUUAAGUAAAAUAUCCCAUGACUAAUAAUAAAUAACAC
Choloepus didactylus (southern two-toed sloth) is the source of this 409-nucleotide long non-coding RNA. RefSeq lists it as uncharacterized. The record is from RefSeq and is a predicted model, not a curated record. The transcript has 3 exons. Lineage: Eukaryota; Metazoa; Chordata; Mammalia; Pilosa; Megalonychidae.